Molecule: unclassified non-coding RNA, 1280 nt
Filed under: Leishmania donovani
Lineage: Eukaryota; Euglenozoa; Kinetoplastea; Trypanosomatida; Trypanosomatidae
Description: gene:LdHU3.08.1440(CDS-product:Ring_finger_domain /Zinc_finger_C3HC4_type_(RING_finger)_containing_protein_pu tative)
Source: RNAcentral
CCUUUUUUCUCGACUUCAAACAAGCGAAAAAAAAAAAAGAACUUUUGUGUGGCUUGUAUGGGAUGGCACAGAGGCAGAUGUGGGUCGGAGAGUGCCCCGAUAGGAUUAGGAAGCGAAUUAGUGCCGCUAAAAAGUCGCGCAUGGUCAUAAAGAAACUAAAUGACCCGACGAGGUUUGCUGUUUGUGAUAUCCAAGGAAAGAAUCAUAAUUGCACGAUUGGGAAUCCGCAUAUGUGCUCCUGCGGCGCUACACAGCCGUGCGCUCAUACUCUUUCCGUUCUGCUCUUGUUCUUCAAAGUAAGCGAGGAAAAUCCGAUUGUAUGGCAAAGAUACAUCAAUGAGGUGGAGCUAAGUGACCUUAUCGACAAGAGAGCGGAUGAAGGAAAAUGCGUUUUUUGCCACGAGAGCACGGGUAGCGUCGGCUCAUGCGAAAAAUGCGGCGCUCACUUUCAUCAGCUGUGCUUGGAAUUGGCAUCGAAAAGCGGAAAAGGCAACUGCAACACCUGUCCAAAGUGUCGUGAAAUGGUGUCGAGGUCUGAAAGUAAAAGCGAUACCUGCUGCAGCAACUGCAGUGUGCCUUGCAAAACUGAGAACUACACAUGCCUCCUUUGCCCUGACUACUUUUUGUGCAGGCGCUGCUACACGUUGUGCAAGACUCAUCCUUCACACCCUUUUAGCUGCAGCAAGCUGGGAGGCCCUGCGCCGUCGACAUGCAGUGUGUCGCCUCAGAGUAUGGGAGAUUUACAAUACCGUGAGAUUAACCCGGAAGACUAUGAAGCACUCAUCGCUCUAGACAACGACAAGAGGAGACCUCUAGGGGAAGAGGAGCUUAGUAACCUGCCAGUCGAGUAUUUUAGCGCGUGCGCAAGAAGAAAUGAUAGUUGCCCGGUGUGUCUCCGUAGAUUCGUGGCGUCCAACAGGUGCAUUGCACUUCCUUGUGGCCACAUAAUGCACCACAAGUGCGGAUUUAAAUGGCUCUCUGAAUUUAGCGACGUGUGUCCUAUUGACAAUCGGAAAGUAUGCAAGUGGAGCAAUACACAGGACGCAAGGACUGCUGGUGAGGUCAAAGCUUCCCUGCAGGCCUCUACACGCGACGGAACGACUUUACGGUUUCCUUCGAAGAUAACAUCCGUCAAGCUUCCCGCAAUCAAGCCACGGGAAUGGAAAUGACGAUUUGGCGAGGAGGACAAGCAACUUUCUGCUCCCUUUUCACCGUCGGCACAAUUUUCAGUCCGCCUUCUCUAAAUGCCCACAAAGAAAUCUUUUUUUUUGCCCUCUCAG